ACUGCCGUGAAAAGCAGGAGGUUCUA
RNAcentral lists this small RNA (26 nucleotides) under Bombyx mori (domestic silkworm). Its description in RNAcentral is "ovarian small RNA-11699". The record is from RNAcentral. Lineage: Eukaryota; Metazoa; Arthropoda; Insecta; Lepidoptera; Bombycidae.